AGCGGUGGAUGAUGUGGAUUAAUUCGAUGCAACGCGAAGAACCUUACCUACGCUUGACAUGUACGGAAUCCUGCUGAGAGGUGGGAGUGCUCCAAAGAGAACCGUAACACAGGUGCUGCAUGGCUGUCGUCAGCUCGUGUCGUGAGAUGUUGGGUUAAGUCCCGCAACGAGCGCAACCCUUGUCCUUGAUUGCUACGCAAGAGCACUCUAGGGAGACUGCCGGUGACAAACCGGAGGAAGGUGGGGAUGACGUCAAGUCCUCAUGGCCCUUAUGGGUAGGGCUUCACACGUCAUACAAUGGUCGGUACAGAGGGCUGCCAAACCGCGAGGUGAAGCUAACCCCAAAAAACCGAUCGUAGUCCGGAUCGCAGUCUGCAACUCGACUGCGUGAAGCUGGAAUCGCUAGUAAUCGCGCGAUCAGCAUGUCGCGGUGAAUACGUUCCCGGGUCUUGUACAC
Molecule: ribosomal RNA, 457 nt
Filed under: Pandoraea sp. 30-I22
Lineage: Bacteria; Pseudomonadati; Pseudomonadota; Betaproteobacteria; Burkholderiales; Burkholderiaceae
Description: bacterial SSU rRNA
Rfam family: Bacterial small subunit ribosomal RNA
Source: RNAcentral